UACAGAGGUCCCAAGCGUUGUUCGGAUUCAUUGGGCGUAAAGGGUGCGUAGGCGGGGCUUUAAGUCAGGGGUGAAAUCCUGGAGCUCAACUCCAGAACUGCCCUUGAUACUGAAGGUCUUGAGUUCGGGAGAGGUGAGUGGAACUGCGAGUGUAGAGGUGAAAUUCGUAGAUAUUCGCAAGAACACCAGUGGCGAAGGCGGCUCACUGGCCCGAUACUGACGCUGAUGCACGAAAGCGUGGGGAGCAAACAGG
RNAcentral lists this ribosomal RNA (253 nucleotides) under uncultured bacterium. RNAcentral describes it as "partial 16S ribosomal RNA". It matches the Rfam family "Bacterial small subunit ribosomal RNA", at positions 524 to 776 of the family's 1533-position model. The record is from RNAcentral.